This is a long non-coding RNA of Sarcophilus harrisii (Tasmanian devil), 2360 nucleotides long. The record is from Ensembl. NCBI's taxonomy places the organism in Eukaryota, Metazoa, Chordata, Mammalia, Dasyuromorphia, Dasyuridae.
GUUGUGGUUUCUGAGGAUCAGAAAGGCUUGAAUGGUAUUACAUAAGUUCUGCUUUUGUGGGGAGAUAACAGUUCUAUAAAUUUAGGGAUUCUCUACACACCUCAUUUACAAAAACAACUUUAUUAACCUUCGUAUCUCUGGGUUCUGAGACAAUAAUCACAUUUAUACCAUGAGAUUCCUGUAUUUUCUCUUCAUUGGUGUCUUUGUUCUGUCCUUGGCAACAUCAGGUUUCACUGGAUUAUCAAGUCAACCUCCAUAUUCCUGUAGUGUAUGCCCUCCUUCAACCUGUCGGUUAAAAUCAUUACCCUGCAAAAAGGCAAUUGAUGGUACCUGUCCUACAGGUAUGCAGUGCUGUGUGAAUGAUUCAUCUCAAAAAGAAUGCUGAAGAACUUUAUCUCUGCAUGGAACCCUCACCAAGUGCAAGAAUGAAAGUUACUGCCUAGAAUAAAAAAACAAAACAAAACACAGACUUCCUCUGAAUCUUGACUGAAUCUUGUUUCAUUUACUUCUGAUAAGGAAUCAGGGUGGGGGUAGGAAGAAGAGGAAUCUGACUGAGAAAAGUUAGGAGAUGCAGAGAGAUAAGGAGGAUCUGUCUCUAAGGCAAAGUCACAGUUCUAGUUCUGCCACAUAGAUAUCUUGCUCAAGACUCAGUCAUUUGUUAACUCUUCAUGUUUGUGUAACAAGUUGAUAGGAACAAUUAGGCUUUUUCUUUUGUGCAUUUGUGCACACUGGGGUUAGAUGAUUUCCUAUAUGUUGCUGCAAUACACCCAACUCUAAUCAUUCUCACAUAAUCAUUUACAUUUCCAUGUAAAUUUAUUAAUCCCUCCCUUUCCCUAUCCGGAGACCAGACUCACAAAUGCAUGUGUGUGGGCUGGUAAUUGUCUAGUUUGGUGAUCUGAGGGACAUUAGAAACUCUCUAAUAUACUAGGAUAUCAGUUAUCUUUCUCACUCUCAUGUACCACAUCAACUGGACAAGAAUCAGCCUCUAAUCUGCAUGUUAUUGGGUGGGAGCCAAAUAAAGCAGGACACAAACAGAAGUUUAAUUAAUUUCAAAGUGACAAAAGUGCUUGCAAACAGAACUUCUUCCCUCUCCCUUCUCUGAGAAGGAGGACUUAACAUGCUGGGGGUAAAGGUAGGGUUUUACAUAAGUAGACAGGACCAUGACAUAACCAUUCAAAACCAUUCUCACUGAGGAUCCAUGCAUGAAUAAUGCAAGCAUUCCUGUAUCUUGUGGGAAUAGUCUCCAAGUUGAUUUUCUCUCAGAAACAAACAGAACCAGAGUUUGAGCGGUGGGAACAGAAGUGUAGUAAUGGGUUUGAUUCACUUAGUUUUUAUAAGAAAUAGGGAUUGUGAGCUUGUCAAAAGGUGUGACAGAUGUUGGUUUGCAGGUCCCUGGGAAAUAGGGGGAAUUAAAAUCAUAAAUUCCUCAGUAAACACCUAGCCCUGGUUAAAACAAUACACUCUGACAGAGAGUGAAUCAUCCAGAGUGCAAAGGAUUGUGGUUAUGCCAAGUUCAGGGCACAGCUUGCUUGCUGGGAAACACGGUAUUUCCAAUAUAUAUAUUGUAAUGCCAAAGUUCCCUUUUAAUGGGGUGACCAAUUGUCCUAUUUAGUAAUUUUGCCUUAAGGUUAUGACCGUCCCCUCUUAAUGGUUGAGAUAAAGGUUUAUAGACAUUCCUUAAUGUCAUUAGAAUAUCAGUAACCUCCCUCUAUGAGGCUAUCCCCACCUAGGUCCCUCCAUUGUUGUUAUUCCAUAAAAGGUUCCCUGCCCAAAGACUCUGGGCUAGACAAUUUGAGAUGAUAGUCUCGUCUAGCCCUGGGAUCAACAUGGAUCCCAGUAUUUCUCUCCAUUUAAUAAACUAUUGAAUUGGUCUCUAAUCUCUUUCUUGCUCAGUUUCUUUGGCAUUACAUUUGGAGGCCCCAGCGAGAUAAUUAGAAAAUGAGCAGGAUUAGAGAUGAGAUUUUUGGGUCUCUGCCUUGGGCGGGGUGGCUGCAAAUCUGAAUUCUUGGCCUGGAGAGGUCGGGCCCUCCUGGAUUUCUUUCCAGAGCCUCCGGGAAAGAGAGCAGUUUCCAGCCACAAUAGCCUGAUGGUAGACAACCCCAUUUUGGCCACAGGAGAGUAAGUUUGUCUGGGUACCUUUUGGGGUACCAUCUGGUUAUGUCUUAAGACUUGUUUUGUUUGUUUGGUUUGGUUGAUUAGUGAAUAACCGGACUGCAUGGUUGUAAGGUUGUCACUUUUGGGGUUCCCUUGGGGUACCGAUUGGUUUGGUUGAUUAGUGAAUAACUGGACGAGGUUGUCACUUGGGGUGCCCUUUUUGGGGGUGCCAUUUGCUUGGUUGAUGAGUGGCCUACUGGACGCAG